GAUCAGGCUCAGGACGAACGCUGGCGGCGCGCCUAACACAUGCAAGUCGAACGAGAGAGAGGGAGCUUGCUUCCUUGAUCGAGUGGCGAACGGGUGAGUAACGCGUGAGGAACCUGCCUCAAAGAGGGGGACAACAGUUGGAAACGACUGCUAAUACCGCAUAAGCCCACGGCUCGGCAUCGAGCAGAGGGAAAAGGAGCAAUCCGCUUUGAGAUGGCCUCGCGUCCGAUUAG
RNAcentral lists this ribosomal RNA (233 nucleotides) under uncultured bacterium. RNAcentral's name for it is "partial 16S ribosomal RNA". It matches the Rfam family "Bacterial small subunit ribosomal RNA", at positions 15 to 244 of the family's 1533-position model. The record is from RNAcentral.